This 431-nucleotide ribosomal RNA is filed under the name uncultured bacterium. RNAcentral's name for it is "bacterial SSU rRNA". It matches the Rfam family "Bacterial small subunit ribosomal RNA", at positions 355 to 796 of the family's 1533-position model. The record is from RNAcentral.
UCGAGGAUCUUCGGCAAUGGGCGCAAGCCUGACCGAGCGACGCCGCGUGUGCGAUGAAGGCCUUCGGGUUGUAAAGCACUGUCGAGGGGGAGGAAGCCGAAAGGUUGACCUAUCCCUGGAGGAAGCACGGGCUAAGUUCGUGCCAGCAGCCGCGGUAAGACGAACCGUGCGAACGUUGUUCGGAAUCACUGGGCUUAAAGGGCGCGUAGGCGGGUUCCCAAGUCUGUGGUGAAAGCCUCCAGCUUAACUGGAGAAGUGCCGUGGAUACUGGGAAUCUCGAGGAGGGUAGGGGCAUCUGGAACUGCCGGUGGAGCGGUGAAAUGCGUUGAUAUCGGCAGGAACUCCGAUGGCGAAGGCAAGGUGCUGGACCCUUUCUGACGCUGAGGCGCGAAAGCCAGGGGAGCAAACGGGAUUAGAUACCCCCGUAGUCC